RNAcentral lists this ribosomal RNA (344 nucleotides) under uncultured eukaryote. RNAcentral describes it as "SSU rRNA". It matches the Rfam family "Eukaryotic small subunit ribosomal RNA", at positions 567 to 912 of the family's 1831-position model. The record is from RNAcentral.
CCAGCAGCCGCGGUAAUUCCAGCUCCAAUAGCGUAUAUUAAAGUUGUUGCAGUUAAAAAGCUCGUAGUUGGAUUUCUGGUAGGAGCGACCAUACCGGGCUUGAUUGUCCGUGUAUUGUGUUGUCUUCAGCCAUCCUCGUGGAAAACAUUACUGGCAUUAACUUGUCGGUAAUGGGAUCCACGUCAUUUACUGUGAAAAAAUUAGAGUGUUUAAAGCAGGCAAUUUGCUUGAAUACAUUAGCAUGGAAUAAUAAGAUAGGACUUUGGUGCUAUUUUGUUGGUUUGCACACCAAGGUAAUGAUUAACAGAAUCAGUCGGGGAUAUUCGUAUGCAAAUGUCAGAGGU